RNAcentral lists this long non-coding RNA (1180 nucleotides) under Papio anubis (olive baboon). Its description in RNAcentral is "lncRNA (ENSPANG00000051271.1)". Lineage: Eukaryota; Metazoa; Chordata; Mammalia; Primates; Cercopithecidae. The record is from RNAcentral.
CAUAUACACAUUUUCUGCUUACUAUUUUUUAUGCUUAAUGUGCUAAAUUUGUAUAUUUUACAGCCAAAACUUGUUCUAAUAAAACUAUUUUUAACAUUUAAUACUAAUCACAAAUUUAAUUUCUUAAAACUUAAUUUUGCAGUGACACUUAUUUUGUCUGAUUUUUAAAUUUCCCUAAUAUUUUUUACAAUCAUAAACCCACAUGAUGUGAAAAAUAUUUAAACAAAAAUCUGUUCUAAACUAUAAUACUAUUGGUUUAAUCCAUGUUGUCUUUUUCUCUGUUCAAUUUUAUACCUCCUUGGAACUUAGAACCUUCUUACUAUGACACUUUCCAGGUAAUCUUAAAUAACCCCUCCCCCACUGAGAAAAAAGACCCUCUCAGGUCAGAUCAUAUUAUUUAUAUGAAUUAUCAAAAACUUUUAUCACUGAUCCUAAAUAUUUUAUAUCUGAUUCAUGUUUCCUAGGUCAGCUUUCUUUCCAGAGCACCGGUCCCCAACCCUCAGGCCGUGGACCAGUAGCGAUCUGUGUCCUGUUAGGAACUGGGCUGCACAGCAGGCGAGUCCAUGUUACAUCACUGCCCAUAUGCUGGACACUGGAGAUCACAAAAUCUCAUCCCACUUUUGGCAACAAGAAACCUAAAGUUUGUUUGAUUUCACCAUUUUGCCCAGGCUGGUCUGAAACUCCUGAGCUAAAGCAUUCUGCCCACUUCGGCCUCCCAAAGUGCUGGGACUACAGGCCUGAGCAACCACGUCCAGUUGUUUUUCUAUUCACAAGGUUCCCCGUCACCAGUAGCUGCAGCACAGUGUACUGGGAAAAGCACAGGGCUUGAAGGCUCACGGUUGUGAAGCUAGUCAUGUUAAUACACCUCAGUUUGUCCUGAUGGUAAAAUCUGGAUUAUAAAUACUUAUCCACAGAUUUGCUGCUAAUUUAAAAUUAUAUAAUGUUGUUAGUUACAAACCAGAUAAUGCUUUGAGAAUACACUGUUUUAGAGAAAUGUUAAUUUGUUUCAAUACAAGAGGCAUUGUCUUAAAUUUUGUGUACUUGAAUUUUAAUCCUUCUCUAACCACUGCUAUUUAUAAAGUAUGAUAUCCCAGGAAGAGAACUAUAAUCCCAGGGUCAUAAAAUGUAGUAAUAUGAAGAAAGUUUAAAAUUUGUGGAGUCAAAUUCCUGCUAACGAUUG